AGUAACGCGUGGGUAACCUGCCUCAUACAGGGGGAUAGCAGCUGGAAACGGCUGAUAAAACCGCAUAAGCGCACAGCAUCGCAUGAUGCAGUGUGAAAAACUCCGGUGGUAUGAGAUGGACCCGCGUCUGAUUAGGUAGUUGGUGGGGUAACGGCCUACCAAGCCGACGAUCAGUAGCCGACCUGAGAGGGUGACCGGCCACAUUGGGACUGAGACACGGCCCAA
Molecule: ribosomal RNA, 225 nt
Filed under: uncultured bacterium
Lineage: Bacteria
Description: partial 16S ribosomal RNA
Rfam family: Bacterial small subunit ribosomal RNA
Source: RNAcentral